Long non-coding RNA from Ochotona curzoniae (black-lipped pika), 805 nucleotides. RefSeq lists it as uncharacterized. The transcript is spliced from 2 exons. NCBI's taxonomy places the organism in Eukaryota, Metazoa, Chordata, Mammalia, Lagomorpha, Ochotonidae. The record is from RefSeq and is a predicted model, not a curated record.
UAUUGCGCCGGGUCCAAUAAAUAUCUUUUUUUUUUUUUUUUUUUUUGCCCAGAGUUUAUAUAUUCAGGUACUUCACUUCCAAUGAGCUUUACAUGACUAGGAAAGGACUGAUUCUGUUGUAUUUGGAUGGGAGCCUCUAAAAUGGCCACCAAUGAUCCCACUCUUGGUAGUAACAGCUUUGUUAAUUUCUUUUCCUUAACGUGCGUGGUACCUAAUGAUCCACUUAAAAAAAUGGAUGCAAUUUUAAAGACUAGGUUACAAAAACACUACCUUCCACAUCUCUACCUCUUCUUUCAACUUCUGCCCUGGACGAAGAUGGCUCUUACAUUGUGAAUAGCCUUACAUGGAGAAUCAAGAGCUGACAUGUCCAGCACACAGCAGACAGGCCCGGAGGCCAGCGUGCAGCUACGAGGAUGAACCUGCACAUCUCCCAGUCACUCUUGGCAUGAUCGCUGUUGCUGCUGCUGCUGCCUGAGGACAGAUUCCUGAGAGAGUUAGGGAAGGAUCCUGUACUUCUCGCGGCUUCACCGAAGUCAGGAACAGCAGCUUCCUCAGCUAAGCUUCCAUGCACCGUAGUGAAAGCACAACUGAAAGACUCAAAGCUGUGUUAUAAGUAGUUCAAUAAAUGCAGCGUUCGAUUUGUUGAGAAUUUAUGUUUCUAUUCACCUAAACUGCUGCUCUGCUGUAAAAUUCUAUGUAUUGUGGUAUUGUGGUGAGCUCAACUUUAGGGAUGAUCUUGGUAGCAAUAACAUGAUAGUUAAUAUCAAGAAAGUAAUACAUUUAAUCUUCUAUCCAUAAAGAAUUG